Molecule: ribosomal RNA, 432 nt
Filed under: uncultured bacterium
Lineage: Bacteria
Description: partial 16S ribosomal RNA
Rfam family: Bacterial small subunit ribosomal RNA
Source: RNAcentral
AACGAACGCUGGCGGCAUGCCUAACACAUGCAAGUCGAACGAGACCUUCGGGUCUAGUGGCGCACGGGUGCGUAACGCGUGGGAACCUGCCCUUAGGUUCGGAAUAACUCCCCGAAAGGGGUGCUAAUACCGGAUAAUGUCUUCGGACCAAAGAUUUAGCGCCUUUGGAUGGGCCCGCGUUGGAUUAGCUAGUUGGUAGGGUAAAAGCCUACCAAGGCGACGAUCCAUAGCUGGUCUGAGAGGAUGAUCAGCCACACUGGGACUGAGACACGGCCCAGACUCCUACGGGAGGCAGCAGUGGGGAAUAUUGGACAAUGGGCGAGAGCCUGAUCCAGCAAUGCCGCGUGAGUGAUGAAGGCCUUAGGGUUGUAAAGCUCUUUUACCCGGGAUGAUAAUGACAGUACCGGGAGAAUAAGCUCCGGCUAACUCCGU